AUUGCUCAAGUAAAAUUGUUUUUAGCUAGUGAGUGGAUUAUUUACAACGCGACCAAUGAUA
RNAcentral lists this transfer RNA (61 nucleotides) under Bigelowiella natans. The record is from RNAcentral. Lineage: Eukaryota; Cercozoa; Chlorarachniophyceae.